RNAcentral lists this non-coding RNA (885 nucleotides) under Oryza sativa Indica Group (long-grained rice). RNAcentral's name for it is "Eukaryotic large subunit ribosomal RNA". It matches the Rfam family "Eukaryotic large subunit ribosomal RNA", at positions 1 to 899 of the family's 3401-position model. Lineage: Eukaryota; Viridiplantae; Streptophyta; Magnoliopsida; Poales; Poaceae. The record is from Rfam by way of RNAcentral.
CGACCCCAGGUCAGGCGGGACUACCCGCUGAGUUUAAGCAUAUAAAUAAGCGGAGGAGAAGAAACUUACGAGGAUUCCCCUAGUAACGGCGAGCGAACCGGGAGAUGCCCAGCUUGAGAAUCGGGCGGCCGCGCCGUCCGAAUUGUAGUCUGGAGAGGCGUCCUCAGCGACGGACCGGGCCCAAGUCCACUGGAAAGGGGCGCCUGGGAGGGUGAGAGCCCCGUCCGGCCCGGACCCUGUCGCCCCACGAGGCGCCGUCAACGAGUCGGGUUGUUUGGGAAUGCAGCCCAAAUCGGGCGGUAAACUCCGUCCAAGGCUAAAUACAGGCGAGAGACCGAUAGCGAACAAGUACCGCGAGGGAAAGAUGAAAAGGACUUUGAAAAGAGAGUCAAAGAGUGCUUGAAAUUGCCGGGAGGGAAGCGGAUGGGGGCCGGCGAUGCGCCCCGGCCGUAUGCGGAACGGCUUCGGCUGGUCCGCCGAUCGGCUCGGGGGCGUGGACUGUUGUCGUCCGCGCCGGCGGCCAAAGCCCGGGGGCUCCGCGCCCCCGGCAGCCGUCGUCGGCGCAGCCGGUCACCGCGCGCCUCUGGCGCGCCCCUCGGGGCGCCGCGCUGCAACGGCCUGCGGGCUCCCCAUCCGACCCGUCUUGAAACACGGACCAAGGAGUCUGACAUGCGUGCGAGUCGACGGGUUCUGAAACCUGGGAUGCGCAAGGAAGCUGACGAGCGGGAGGCCCUCACGGGCCGCACCGCUGGCCGACCCUGAUCUUCUUGAAGGGUUCGAGUUGGAGCACGCCUGUCGGGACCCGAAAGAUGGUGAACUAUGCCUGAGCGGGGCGAAGCCAGAGGAAACUCUGGUGAGGCUCGAAGCGAUACUGACGUGCAAAUC